UGGUUCUGGCAUCGAUGAAGAACGCAGCGAAAUGCGAUAAGUAAUGUGAAUUGCAGAAUUCAGUGAAUCAUCGAAUCUUUGAACGCACAUUGCGCCCCUUGGUAUUCCGAGGGGCAUGCCUGUUCGAGCGUCAUUAUCACCACUCAAGCCUAGCUUGGUGUUGGGGCCUGCUAUAAUAGCAUCCCUUAAAAUCAGUGGCAGUGCCGUCAGGCUCUAAGCGUAGUAAACUUCAUCGCUAUAGAGUCCUUCCGGUUGCUCGCCAGAACCUAUUACUUUAAAGGUUUGACCUCGGAUCAGGUAGGGAUACCCGCUGA
Molecule: unclassified non-coding RNA, 314 nt
Filed under: uncultured fungus
Lineage: Eukaryota; Fungi
Description: partial contains 5.8S ribosomal RNA and internal transcribed spacer 2
Rfam family: 5.8S ribosomal RNA (bases 1-133)
Source: RNAcentral